Molecule: ribosomal RNA, 484 nt
Filed under: uncultured bacterium
Lineage: Bacteria
Description: partial 16S ribosomal RNA
Rfam family: Bacterial small subunit ribosomal RNA
Source: RNAcentral
ACUCAAAGGAAUAGACGGGGACCCGCACAAGCAGCGGAGCGUGUGGUUUAAUUCGAUGCAACGCGAAGAACCUUACCAGGACUUGACAUGCAACUGCACCGCCCGUAAUGGGGCGUCCGAGCAAUCGGCGAUUGCACAGGUGCUGCAUGGCUGUCGUCAGCUCGUGUCGUGAGAUGUUGGGUUCAGUCCCGCAACGAGCGCAACCCCUGCCGCUAGUUAAGCUUUCUAGCGGGACCGCCGCGAUCAACGCGGAGGAAGGCGGGGAUGACGUCAAGUCAGCACGGCCCUUACGUCCUGGGCGACACACACGCUACAAUGGUCGGAACAACGGGCAGCCAACCCGCGAGGGGGAGCCAAUCCCAGCAAAACCGGCCUCAGUUCAGAUUGCAGGCUGCAACCCGCCUGCAUGAAGGAGGAGUUGCUAGUAACCGUGGGUCAGCACACUACGGUGAAUACGUUCCCGGGUCUUGCACACACCGCCCGU